RNAcentral lists this ribosomal RNA (511 nucleotides) under uncultured bacterium. Its description in RNAcentral is "bacterial SSU rRNA". It matches the Rfam family "Bacterial small subunit ribosomal RNA", at positions 338 to 865 of the family's 1533-position model. The record is from RNAcentral.
CCUACGGGAGGCAGCAGUGGGGAAUAUUGGACAAUGGGCGAAAGCCUGAUCCAGCAAUGCCGCGUGAGUGAUGAAGGCCUUAGGGUUGUAAAGCUCUUUUACCAGGGAUGAUAAUGACAGUACCUGGAGAAUAAGCUCCGGCUAACUCCGUGCCAGCAGCCGCGGUAAUACGGAGGGAGCUAGCGUUGUUCGGAAUUACUGGGCGUAAAGCGUGCGUAGGCGGUGAUUCAAGUCAGAGGUGAAAGCCUGGAGCUCAACUCCAGAACGGCCUUUGAAACUAGAUCGCUAGAAUUAUGGAGAGGUAAGUGGAAUUCCGAGUGUAGAGGUGAAAUUCGUAGAUAUUCGGAAGAACACCAGUGGCGAAGGCGACUUACUGGACAUAUAUUGACGCUGAGGUACGAAAGCGUGGGGAGCAAACAGGAUUAGAUACCCUGGUAGUCCACGCCGUAAACGAUAGAUAACUAGACUGUCGGUCGUCUCAGAGACGUGUAGUGGCGCGAGCGUACGACGA